AAUGAACGCUGGCGGCGCGCCUAAUACAUGCAAGUCGAGCGAGAAGACGUAGCAAUACGUUUGUAAAGCGGCGAACGGGUGAGGAAUACAUGGGUAACCUACCCUCGAGUGGGGAAUAACUAGCCGAAAGGUUAGCUAAUACCGCGUACGCUUCUUGGACUUCGGUUCAGGGAGGAAAGCGAUACCGUGGGUAUCGCGCUCUUGGAUGGGCUCAUGUCCUAUCAGCUUGUUGGUGAGGUAACGGCUCACCAAGGCUUUGACGGGUAGCUGGUCUGAGAGGACGAUCAGCCACACUGGCACUGCGACACGGGCCAGACUCCUACGGGAGGCAGCAGUAAGGAAUAUUGCGCAAUGGGCGAAAGCCUGACGCAGCGACGCCGCGGUGGGGGA
This 390-nucleotide ribosomal RNA is filed under the name uncultured bacterium. RNAcentral's name for it is "bacterial SSU rRNA". It matches the Rfam family "Bacterial small subunit ribosomal RNA", at positions 29 to 408 of the family's 1533-position model. The record is from RNAcentral.